Long non-coding RNA from Oncorhynchus tshawytscha (Chinook salmon), 553 nucleotides. The record is from Ensembl. NCBI's taxonomy places the organism in Eukaryota, Metazoa, Chordata, Actinopteri, Salmoniformes, Salmonidae.
GUGAAAACCAAGAGGUUAAUGAAACGGAAAAUGGAAAUAAAAAACAUUAAGAUGAGAUCUGGAAAUCAGAAUCAAAGCAGUUCUUUACUUGGGAGGGAGUGGGAUCUCUUGUUACAGCCAGGUAGUAGAUGUAAUAUGGUCCUGGUCAGUUCUUUGCUUGGGAGGGAGUGGGAUCUUUUGUUACAGCCAGGUAGUAGAUGUAAUAUGGUCCUGGUCAGUUCUUUGCUUGGGAGGGAGUGGGAUCUUUUGUUACAGCCAGGUAGUAGAUGUAAUAUGGUCCUGGUCAGUUCUUUACUUGGGAGGGAGUGGGAUCUCUUGUUACAGCCAGGUAGUAGAUGUAAUAUGGUCCUGGUCAGUUCUUUACUUGGGAGGGAGUGGGAUCUCUUGUUACAGCCAGGUAGUAGAUGUAAUAUGGUCCUGGUCAACAUUAGUGACCCCUCCUGUCUCAGCCUCCAGUAUUUAUGCUGCAGUAGUUUGUGUCGGGGGGCUAGGAUCAGUUUGUUAUAUCUGGAGUACUUCUCUUGUCCUAUUCGGUGUCCUGUGUGAAUUUAAG